Molecule: long non-coding RNA, 1226 nt
Organism: Triticum aestivum (bread wheat)
Lineage: Eukaryota; Viridiplantae; Streptophyta; Magnoliopsida; Poales; Poaceae
Exons: 2
Source: RefSeq, a predicted model, not a curated record
CCGCCGCGCUACCCCUCCCCCAGGCCACUGCCGUGCCGCCUCUCUACAAGUCGCUACCGCGCCACCCCUCCUGAGCCCCCCACCAACAAGUCCUCGCAUGCCUCCCACAGCUCCCCCUGCCAGCUCCGCCCGACCCAGUGCCGCUCGGCCGCUCUCCGCCAUCCGCGGCGAGCCCUGGCAACCGGAUCCGGAGACCCUUCCAGCGGGGCCGCCGGCCAUGCCGCGCCACCGCCAGAGCCCUAGCCCCGCCCGACGGCGUGGGUGGGUGCUGCACAGGGCGGUGGCCGCGAGGCAAGGCUGUCCACCAUCCUACCCUCUGCCUCAGACACGACGGUGGCCUCUCGCCGGUGCCUCGUCUCCUCCCAUGGCCAUCUGACAUUCUGCAGCGCUGCUCUGCAGUUUAGCUGCUGGUGGCAAGAGGUUUCAUUUGCCCCGGAACACGGUCCAGUAGCUCGUCUUGUGCAGUUCCGUGGAGAUGAACUCCACCACGACGGCGGCCGUGCCUCACCUCGCCAGCUCCAGGACGCUCUCUGCUCCAUCUUGUGUGCUUAACUGAUGAGGUAGAAUUAGAUACAGUUUGCGUUUCGGUGCCAAGCCCAUGCAGUCCACUGGACACAUGUGCUUUUUCAGAUAUUUGUUUUGCAUUCGUCUAGAGUUUCUCAAGAAGUUCUCUUUGUUCUUUGAUGUGUAAGAUAAAAACAGAAACUAUGUAGUUCGUCGGCCCAGUGCUUACGGUUUGUUUCUUCUCGCGCUUCGUUUUGCUUGUGUCAUUUCCUGCGGCCAGCAACAGCGUCACCGACACAGCCGGAGGCCUUUCGUCACUGCCGUGGUCGCCGGCGAGCUCUCCGAGGCAUGGUCGUGCGCCUGCGGCCAAGCGCGAGACAUGGAGGCGGUAGUCUUGAUUCUGAAGGUGUUCAGAGGCUACCUAGCACGAGUUCCCUCUCCAUGCUUCUCCCAAACAAAGAUCAAACUGAAUUUUGCGAUAAACAUGCUGCUGCACAUACGUACAGAAAAAGGCUUUAGAAGCAUUCACUGUUUUUUGGUUUAACAUAUCAAAAGAGUUGGCAAUUCAGUAUUACUUGUUUGAGGUUCAUUAUUUAUUUUGCCUCACUGAGAUGUUCGCUUUUAUAGUUUUAUUGGUGCAGGUCACUAAAAGAAAAGUAUUAGUGGUGGUCGCGGCGGCUCCAUGGCCCCAUGCGAUUCAGUUGCCGCUGGAAUUUCUUGUA